AGUGAACGCUGGCGGUAGGCCUAACACAUGCAAGUCGAACGGCAGCACAGUAAGAGCUUGCUCUUACGGGUGGCGAGUGGCGGACGGGUGAGGAAUACAUCGGAAUCUACUUUUUCGUGGGGGAUAACGUAGGGAAACUUACGCUAAUACCGCAUACGACCUUCGGGUGAAAGCAGGGGAUCUUCGGACCUUGCGCGAUUGAAUGAGCCGAUGUCGGAUUAGCUAGUUGGCGGGGUAAAGGCCCACCGAGGCGACGAUCCGUAGCUGGUCUGAGAGGAUGAUCAGCCACACUGGAACUGAGACACGGUCCAGACUCCUACGGGAGGCAGCAGUGGGGAAUAUUGGACAAUGGGCGCAAGCCUGAUCCAGCCAUACCGCGUGGGUGAAGAAGGCCUUCGGGUUGUAAAGCCCUUUUGUUGGGAAAGAAAAGCAGCAGGUUAAUACCCCGCUGUUCUGACGGUACCCAAAGAAUAAGCACCGGCUAACUUCGUG
Molecule: ribosomal RNA, 492 nt
Filed under: uncultured bacterium
Lineage: Bacteria
Description: partial 16S ribosomal RNA
Rfam family: Bacterial small subunit ribosomal RNA
Source: RNAcentral